CUUUCAAAUGCACUAGGCAUUAAAAGAUAACACGUUCGCUGGAAAAGGAACUGCGUUGGUGACAUUAAUGGAGUUUGAAGAUGUGACUAUAGCAUUUAGAAUGAUGAUUGACCAGCCAACAUCACCAUAUGGAUUUGAUGUUUAAUGUCAUUGAAAACGAUACGUGGUUUUGUUGGAAGAUAAAAAAAAAAAAAAAGAAACAGAUUAGGUUAACAAGGCAAGAAAAAUAUGUGUUUUUGCAGAAUUUAUUAAGAUGUGAGAAACAAUACCACAGUCUUUGUAAAUGUUGGAAAUCAGCUCUCCGAUUGUGAAUUGCGGCC
This 320-nucleotide long non-coding RNA is filed under the name Mytilus galloprovincialis (Mediterranean mussel). The record is from RNAcentral. Lineage: Eukaryota; Metazoa; Mollusca; Bivalvia; Mytilida; Mytilidae.